This 1068-nucleotide ribosomal RNA is filed under the name Triticum aestivum (bread wheat). Its description in RNAcentral is "partial small subunit ribosomal RNA". Lineage: Eukaryota; Viridiplantae; Streptophyta; Magnoliopsida; Poales; Poaceae. The record is from RNAcentral.
AUGAAAGGAAUCUUUUGGAAUAGCAGAGGUCUAAAGGACUUGGCUAAAACAAGGUUUCUUGCUGAGGCAUCUGUCGAGCAUCGUUUAGAUUUUAUCGCUCUAUCGGAGACGGGUAGAGAUAACUUUGCGCCUCAAUUUCUAAGUACUCUGUCAGGGGGUAUAGAUUUUGAUUGGCAUUGCUUGCCUCCGAGAGGGAGAUCGGGUGGAAUCUUACUCGGCGUUAGGUGCGAAACGCUUGAGGUUCGCAGUGUGGUUAUGGGUGACUUUGCAGUCAAGUUCCGGGUAUGGUCGAAGGAAGAUUGGUUUAAUUGGGCCCUGGUUGCGGUAUAUGGGGCUGCGCAACCCGAGCUCAAGCCCGAGUUCUUGUCUGAUCUCGUUCGGAUUUGUGGUUCCGAGAAGUUGCCUAUCCUGGUGGGGGGUGAUUUCAAUAUUAUUAGAAGGCGUGAGGAUAAGAACAAUGACAACUUUGACGGCAGAUGGUCGUUCAUGUUCAAUACGAUUAUUGAAAGUUUGAACCUGAGAGAAAUUGAGCUCUCGGGUAGAAAAUUCACCUGGGCUAACGCGCUGCCAAAUCCGACGUAUGAGAAGUUGGAUCGAGUGUUGGCCAGUGUCGAUUGGGAACAGAAGUUCCCUCUAGUAACAGUCCAGGCCUUGACCCGCGGUAUUUCUGACCACACGCCGUUAUUUGUGGACUCGGGUGAGCCCUCCCACCUAGGGAACAAGAAUGUGUUCUCCUUUGAGAUGGCUUGGUUUGAACGUGAAGGCUUCCUUGAUCUUGUGGCUAGAGAGUGGGCUAAGGAUUCAGGAGGGAAGACUGCGCUUCAGCGCUGGCAGAAUAAGAUUAGGCAUUUGAGGAGUUUCCUGCGUGGAUGGGCUAAGCAUCUUAGCGGGAUUUAUAAGGUCGAAAAGGAAAGGCUCCUUUCCCUUAUUCAGUCCCUGGAUUUAAAAGCAGAAACAACGAUACUGCCGGCCGCGGAGCUUCAUGCCAAGCUUGACGCGGAAUUGCGGCUGAAAGAACUUCUUAGGGAAGAAGAGUUGAAGUGGGCAUUGCGGGCCAAGGUCCGGUGA